Molecule: small nucleolar RNA, 72 nt
Organism: Delphinapterus leucas (beluga whale)
Lineage: Eukaryota; Metazoa; Chordata; Mammalia; Artiodactyla; Monodontidae
Product: small nucleolar RNA SNORD113/SNORD114 family
Source: Ensembl
UGGAUUAAUGAUGACUACUGGCAGUGUGUGAGUCAUAUACGAUGAGUGUGUGUCUGGAACUCUGAGGCCCAA